GUGGGGAAUCUUAGACAAUGGGGGAAACCCUGAUCUAGCCAUGUCGCGUGAUCGAUGAAGGCCUUAGGGUUGUAAAGAUCUUUCAGGUGGGAAGAUAAUGACUGUACCACCAGAAGAAGCCCCGGCUAACUCCGUGCCAGCAGCCGCGGUAAUACGGAGGGGGCUAGCGUUGUUCGGAAUUACUGGGCGUAAAGCGCACGUAGGCGGAUUGGAAAGUUGGGGGUGAAAUCCCGGGGCUCAACCCCGGAACUGCCUUCAAAACUCCCAGUCUUGAGUUCGAGAGAGGUGAGUGGAAUUCCGAGUGUAGAGGUGAAAUUCGUAGAUAUUCGGAGGAACACCAGUGGCGAAGGCGGCUCACUGGCUCGAUACUGACGCUGAGGUGCGAAAGCGUGGGGAGCAAACAGGAUUAGAUACCCCGGUAGUCC
Molecule: ribosomal RNA, 425 nt
Filed under: uncultured bacterium
Lineage: Bacteria
Description: partial 16S ribosomal RNA
Rfam family: Bacterial small subunit ribosomal RNA
Source: RNAcentral